This 254-nucleotide ribosomal RNA is filed under the name uncultured bacterium. RNAcentral describes it as "partial 16S ribosomal RNA". It matches the Rfam family "Bacterial small subunit ribosomal RNA", at positions 524 to 776 of the family's 1533-position model. The record is from RNAcentral.
CACGUAGGGGGCAAGCGUUGUCCGGAUUUAUUGGGCGUAAAGAGCUCGUAGGCGGCUUGGUAAGUCGGGUGUGAAACCUCCAGGCUCAACCUGGAGACGCCACUCGGUACUGCUAUGGCUAGAGUCCGGUAGGGGAGCGUGGAAUUCCUGGUGUAGCGGUGAAAUGCGCAGAUAUCAGGAGGAACACCAGCGGCGAAGGCGGCGCUCUGGGCCGGAACUGACGCUGAGGAGCGAAAGCAUGGGGAGCGAACAGG